Molecule: ribosomal RNA, 490 nt
Filed under: uncultured bacterium
Lineage: Bacteria
Description: partial 16S ribosomal RNA
Rfam family: Bacterial small subunit ribosomal RNA
Source: RNAcentral
AUUGAACGCUGGCGGCAGGCCUAACACAUGCAAGUCGAACGGUAACACGAAGCAGCUUGCUGCUUCGCUGACGAGUGGCGGACGGGUGAGUCAUGUCUGGGAAGCUGCCUGAUGGAGGGGGAUAACUACUGGAAACGGUAGCUAAUACCGCAUAUAUUCGCAAGCGCAAAGAGGGGUAGCGUCGGGCGUCUUGCCAUCGGAUGUGCGCAGAUGGGAUUAGCUUGUUGGUGGGGUAACGGCUCACCAAGGCGACGAUCCGUAGCUGGUCUGAGAGGAUGACCAGCCACACUGGAACUGAGACACGGUCCAGACUCCUACGGGAGGCAGCAGUGGGGAAUAUUGCACAAUGGGCGAAAGCCUGAUGCAGCAACGCCGCGUGUAUGAAGAAGGUCUUCGGGUUGUAAAGUACUUUCAGCGGGGAGGAAGGGAGUAAUGUUAAUAUCUUCACUUAUUGACGGUACCCGCAGAAGAAGCACCGGCUAACUACGUG